This 42387-nucleotide long non-coding RNA is filed under the name Gallus gallus (chicken). Its description in RNAcentral is "lncRNA (ENSGALG00010023530.1)". The record is from RNAcentral. Lineage: Eukaryota; Metazoa; Chordata; Aves; Galliformes; Phasianidae.
CAAUUAAAAUUUUAAUUCUAAUGUAAUGCUAUUGAGAAGGUCCAUGUGGUGCUGUACAAAAACUGUAUCAUCACGUAAAGUUUUAUAGUUAUAAGUACCUGGGCUUUCUUUUAUACCAAGAAAUACCUACUCUUCCUAACAAUCAUUGCAUGAAUGAAACCUAUACCAACAAAACUCCUCUCUAUCUCAGUAGAUGCAUGCUUUAUGGGAAGCUUCGAUUUCAUACGCACAUUCAAAUAUAUCCUAAGUAUAUAUCAAUAUAUCUCUGAAUAUAUGAAAUACAUAUUCAUAUAUACAAAUCUCUUUCCCUUUUCCCCUCGUAUAAUCAGAAUCAAAGCUGCAUACACUAGAACAGCACACACCCAGAGACAGUUCUGUAAGGGUUUUAAAGGAGGCAGAAUUAUCUUGACCUCUAAAAAGGGAGCAUCAAAGAAGCCACAUGAUAUUUUGAACAAUAUCAACUCCGAGGAUCCUAAGAGGAUAACUAUAAUGCUAUUUCUCUAAGUGGGAAGGGAAGAUUAGAAGUGAGUCAAGAUUGACAUAAUAAAGGCCUCGAAAGAACAAUCAUUUCAGAAGUGAGAAGGUACACGGGGGAUUUUGCAGAUAAUCUAAAAAGUAAUGUUCCCCAGCUGUGAUUCCCAUCACAUUAGCUCAUGGAAUAUCUUUUUUAUUUCUAGUGUCUCUCCACAACAGAUAGCCUGGAGAUCUCAGCUCUUUAGAAAACAGAAGAAUAUUGUACCAGGGGUCCUCCUGAACAGCCAGAGAAUGACACAGCCAACCUAAAGCACACAUUCAUAGCAUAAUUGAUGCUUUCAGCUAACAGGAGCUGCACUGUUUCACCUUCCAUUUCAUGUAUCAUCAGUUGGCAAUGUGCGAUUACUACCUCUCUCACCUUCCAUGGCAUGACAAUUGCAGCCUGAAAGAUGGGCACAUAUUUAUUUAAAAGUACUUGUGGUGAAGGCUCACAGGAAAAAGUUUAUAAUAUGCCUUAAAAAGUGUGAUAUUGAUUCCUCUGAGCACUGAAUUAAUAAGGCCAGUUCUCCUUUUAAACAUUUAUACUGCUAGUUUCCUACUUCAAAUGAAUUAGUGAAACCAGUGGAUAUCUUAUAUGAAGAAAGAUAAAUUAAUUUCACUAUCUAAAUUCUUGUUUCCAUAGGUAUGAGAGAAAAAUGCAUUAAACAGCCAUUCCAUUCAGCAUUUCCACCUUCACAUUGACCACAAAUGCAGAGAAUUGAAAGAGCAAGGAUAAUGUGUUACUUGUGAAGAAUCUCUUUAUGUAGCUCUGGUUCAAGGAGGGAUUUCCUUCAUUCAUUCUAUUUUUAAAAUCCGUGAAACAGGGCUGAAGUUUCAGCUAAUCUCAUUUCUUUCAGAUGUCAGUUCAGAAAGAAGAGGAAAGAUUUGCUUUCAGCUUUGAGCAGCUUAGCUUGCAGGUCCCUCUGCAAGAGAGGCUUGUCCAUUAUUCAGAUCCAUCCAGUCACAAUGAAGUGCCUAAAUCUCCCUCAGUGGACCAAUGAAACCCAAGAAAUUCAUUAUAUAAUCACACUGGUAAAUUCUUGAAGGGAGAAUGUGGGCACGCACUACUACAGGACAUCACGACUCGCUCUCCAAGUCAGUUACAAAAUCCCAUGGAGAUUUUUGCCACCUGACUAAAAGGCAGUUUGUCUUCAGACAGUUAGGUGAUAAAUUAAUGCUUUGACAUUGCAUACCAUGCAAACUUCAAAAACAAUCAGUUAUAUCUGGAUAGUAACAGAACAGUUACUGACUACAAACGUCACACACUUGGGAACACAAGCUACAUGAAAUACAGGGUGUAGCAUGGAGUGUUUAAUUUUAUUGCAAAACAGUACUUAGAUUUCAGGAACAAGAGCAUGAAAACAUUCCUCAAAGGACAUAAAAAUUUCCCUUGAUUGUGAUUUUCAAGUAUAUAUAGUAAGAAUUAAGCACUUAAAUAUUUCUAUUACCAUAGUGCAUAACAAAUUAAACCACAAACAUAGCCUACUUCAUUAGGUGCAGCAAAAACAAAGACAGCCCCUGAGAUAAUUACCUAAACUACUUGUUGUACUGUGAGCAUUCGGCCAUUAACAUUGAAACUGCGUUGUCUCAGCCUGAGGGAAAGAUGUCAUAUAGUUAAGGAUGCACAUUUUCUGUUGUGCAAUGCCCUGUUUGGAUUGCUUGUUUCUCUCUGAUCUUCAAGAACUGUGUCAAGUUGUCUUUCAGUAUGCAGUGUGCAAUUCUCCACGUUCCAGCUGGUUCAAGUGGCUGCAGCCCCAGCUAGACCCCUUACCUUCCUACUUGCAUGCACCUGAGCUAGAAAAGAUUUGGUCUUAGGCAAGGUAUUGCAGGCAGACAAAAGCAAUGUCUGGAAGUGACUUAAAAAUGACCAUUCCCACCAGUGAAAGAAAGCUGUACCAACAACUACACUUGCAUACUUCCGCUCUUAAGACCCUCCAAAACCAACCAGAAAUGCAGUCAAGUUAUUAACACCCAUCUUUGACUGACGAUGGGAAAAGCCAAACCAAACCUGUUUUUAAAUGACAACAGGAGUAGACUAUUACAAGAAAGUUAGCCAAGGUAUAUCACAGCAUCUCUGAGGUCUCCCUCGCAGCACUGUGACCUGACUCUCAAGCACGGCCAUCCGCAUGGGCCACGUUGCAGAUGUCCUGACAUCUCUAUGUCCUGCCAUCCUCUCCUUCCCUUUAAGGGCACCCCCUGGCUAAACAAUUACAAAUACUGCUGUUAACACUGAAGUCAUUAAUGCCUCCUGAUGACACCUUAAGUUAAUUGGCAGAGGGAGAAAGAUCAGCCCAGGACCGUCAUGAGGCCAAACACCAUGCACAACCCAAUGCUACCUGAAGGUGAACUUCUUCAAAAGCUAACAUUUCCCCAAAAUAGAACACGUCCAGCAGGACUACAAUACAUUAAGUCCACCUAACAAUUCCCUAAAUGUGACAGCACUUGUUUCUACAUAUAUAAAGUAAAAAAGAAGGGGAAAAUAAUUUAAAAGCUUACAUGCUUCUGCUUGGUUGAGAAGCAUCACACUCAAGUGUCAAACUCCUUUUAAACUUCCCAGUAACACAGAUGUCACUACAUUUUUUUGUAUAUGCAAAUUUCUUACCACCAGUGGGUUACAACAGAUCUUCUAAUUAGUCUCUGUUACAGUAUUCAAAAUUUGAACCUUUUUCCAAGGAAAAAAAAAAAAGGAAGCUGUUCUUUCAACAUUCAUCUAAUUAGGACCUUUUUUUUUCUCCUUAGAAAGGUAAAAAACAGAGAUCGUUUCCCAGAAACCACCAUACAAUUUCUUAGCAAGGUCUUCUCAGUUCAGUUCUAUCAUUCCGACUACUUUUACUUUUUCCCCAGAAAUAAGGGUGCAGCAGAGUAGCUCUAAAAAGCAAAAUACUGAUUAUGACCACCAUUCAAGAUGAUUAACUGUCAGGAGAACAUUAAAGAAUUAGUUCUGCAAACACAUGAAAAACACACAUUUAAGUCAAAUAUUCUGAGUAUUUACAACCUCCUAAAAUUAUCCCAAGGGCAACAUUACUUUACAAUAUUAAUUAGUGAAAAAUCCCAGAGAACCAAUUUUUAUGCAAGAAUUAUAAAGCACAUUUUCCCCUCUGCUAUAAGUAGCAGCUGUCCUAUUUAUCUUUCAGGCUUUUUACUCCAUACUGUUACUGUUUAUAUACAAAUUUUGACAGAAGUAGGAAGAAAAAAAAAGAAAAAGAAAACCUACGUCGUUCAACACCUUAAGAUAACCAUCAGAAAAUAACCUUUAAAAAGAACCAUUUAACUCAUCAUUUUGGGCUUACCCCCAUAAACACUGUUGGCUAAUUCCACUUACUCCAGAGAAAGCCACGAUACCCUCUGGGAAAAUCAGAGAUUAGCUUACACUUGCAAAAAGAUAUUCUUUGAACUUUUAAGGACACAUUUCCCUUCUACAGAGACUUCCCCACCACAAUCUCACACACACACAACCUCUGUAAGGCUCUACUGCCCAGCAAAUAAGAUGCAAAAUAAUGUACAGACAGCAGCCAUUUGGCCAAAUGAUAGCACAUGAAACAGCGGGCAGAGUAACUAUGAGAAUGGUCUAAUAGUUAUACUGCUGCAGUGCAGUUUUCACACCCAGUUCCAGAGCCCUGCAAAACACUCUUCUCGUGAUGGGGCCAUUAAGGCUGGUGGCAUUUCCUCAAAAUUAUACUAAUAUAUAUAUAUACGAACAUGAAUUUAUUGUGUACAUAUAUAUGAACAAAGCAACAAGAUUUAGCAAUAUUCAGAUAUUUGUGGUAUCAGAUCAUAAGUGAUGCAAAUAAGGGUCACACUACACUCUUAAGUUUUCAAACACUUGUAAUGAUACAGCGCAGUUCUCUCCCCCUGCAGUGGCUUCAGCACUAACUCUUGCCAUACUCCUCUCCUGCAGAAGACAUUCAAAAACCAAAUUGAAUGAAAUUUAAUCAGCUAAAUCUCAUUAACUCCUCCUAAACAAAUGAAGUUAGAUUAAUUCAAGCCAUGCAGUUCACACAAGCCAUAAGCUUAUUUCCCCUCCAGCCUGCCUCUUUCUGGGUUACCUUUCUAAUUGGUUUAGCUGACCUGUGCAGUGCAGUCAGAUCUAUCCUAGAGCUGAGAAUGGAUGAACGAAGGAAGAUGAAGUAUUGGAGAAGUAAUUAUACAAGGCUCUUAAAAUACUUUCAUAUGAAUUCGUUGCUUUCUAGUACUAAAAAACUCAUAUCUUUUUCCCAGGAAAUAGGAAGUAUACAGGAAACAUAGCUAACAGUCUCUCUGGUAUCUCUUACAGGUUAUCCCUGCAAAAUCCACAAAUAAAAAGGGAACCAACAGAUGCAAUGCUGAUACACGUAAGAUCAAAAAAGAACCACCACAAACUUUAUGAAAAAGCAAGCAGCAGUGGCUUUCAAAGCAGAAAGUUGAAACUGCACAAGCCAAACUCUCUAUUUUUUUUCCAGUGGGUCAUCUUCAAAACUGGAAAGUUUUUGACUUACUUUCAAAGUGCACAACUGCAGCGUUUCCAAGUCUCCAUUACAUCACAGGCUCUUGUUUUGACACACGCUUCAACAGAAUAGCACUCGGGAGUCUGAGUUUAAAAAUAUAUAUAUAUUUUUAGAAAGAUGAGAAUACUAGCAUUACCUUUCAAUUUCAUAACAGAGAGAAAGAUUACAGGCGGUAUCUUAAAAUAAUAAAUUUUCCAAGUGGGCCAGAGAAGUUUUCUAACAGCAAAAAGAAAAAUGGCUGUCUAAGACCACACCACUGCCACCAAGGUUUCUCGGGAGAAAAGAAAUUGAUCCUUCUUUGUUUGCUUGUAGCAAACAAUUCAUUUCUAAAAGCGAGUUUGCUAAGAUGUUGCCCCAACACAUCACUGGUGACCGAGCUGUAGCCUGGUGUGUUUAUCAGCAACUGAUUCACAUAGAGCACGUUUUCUCCUGCCACUGUAUCAAAUACAUUACUUAUGCCGAAUGUCAUGAAGGUGAAAAGGACAAACAUUACAAAGUUGCAUCUACCUUAAGGUUGGUAAGUCUGUGAGCGAUUUUCAUGUGAUACUGUAUUCUCCAUAUUGCUGCUUAACAUGAAGUUAUACCAUUAGAAAUUAAUUGAUACUUGUUUUUAGCACAGAUUAACAUCAGCUAGAUUUGAGCAAGAAUGACUGCUUAUUAAUGAAACUCAAUACUUAAGGUACGGCAUACAAGGAAAGAAAGAGCAUGGGGGAAAGAAGCCAAAGCUUACAAUGUAAAUGAUCAGAUUAAGUGUUUCAAUUUCAAAGAAUUUAAUAUUGUCAUAGUUAAAAAAAAAAAAAAAAAAGAGGAGUCUGGAAAAAAGUAGAAAACCAACCCACUAAAAUGGUUGGUGAUAAACUUCUAAUCAUCCCUUGGCCACCAGCCUCUAAACUUUGGCAUCACCAGCAUUGUACAAUGACUUGAAACAUGAGUUGGUAAUUACCAUCGGUCUCUGCAUACAACAAUUCCAACACAUCCGCCAAAUCUUUCAUCAGAAAUGGGUGUCUUUCAUUUGCUGUAAUUACUAUAAACAUUGCCCCGCCACUGACCAAAAUUUCCUUACUAUAGAAAACCCUGUAUAUUUUCACAACAGAGCAUUCCCUGCUUUUCUAUUCUCCCACACAAAGACCGAGCUCAUUACAGCUGCAAGUAUUGACUGUUAAGAAAAAGCAGUCAAUGUUCUACUGCAACGAAGAAUAAAUUUUAUAUGAGUUAAAAUGUGAACCUACCCUGGAAUCUUUGUUCACCUACAUUUCAAAGAAGCGUACAACCCUUUCUCAAUCUGUUAAACAUGCUAGCAAUAAGAAGGAUAGCACAGCAGGAACAGCAGGUCUCAGAGCCCUAUUGCUUGCAAAAAUGGACAGGUUUUAAGGAAGGCUUGGAGCUCAUUCAACAGCAAAAACUGCUGCAGCUGCCACGUUGUCACAAUCCAAAAGAACACGAUUGUGAACACUGAGCUCCCUUCAGAGCAGUUCAUGCCAUACCUUUACAUUUCUGGCUCACCUCCCCUUUCAUCUUACUCUCCACUCCUUUGUGAUAUUUGCCACUUAUUUUCUGCAGUUACUUGAGAAUUCUUGUUUUCCCACUCCAAUUCUCCAUACUAAGUGAAAUAUUUAUUCCACAUUCUAUGUUUUUGAAUUUAUACACAUCAUACAAGUGGAAAGUUGUCUUAUUUUUCACAGUACAAAACUCCACAGAAGCACUGCCAGAUACAUAAAAUGGAGUUGUAUCCUCUGAAAGAAGUAUACUGGUAUUGCUACUAGUUUAACUUUUUUUGCAUGAUUAACUUAUAAGCAACUCUGAGUCUGAUUAACAGUCUAAAGAGCAAGUGUGGGCAAACCUAAAAGGCCUGAAACAAAAUCUAUUUCCAUAUAGGCAUAUAAUAUCAAUCUUAUAAUUUAGAUAUUUUUUUAAAAACAAAUCAUGUAGCCAAAAUACAAUCUACAACUGUCUACUGUCUUCCACAACACAUCUAUAGAAUACAGGGUGUGAGCUCUUACCCAAAUUCCCUCUGCCAACCUGUCUGUGAUAGUGUGCCUCAUCAGUGACAAUACCAGAAGGCAUUUCACUUCAAGACAAAGCAUAUUUGCAUGUAUUCAGGAAAACAUUGGGGGUGGUUACGUUCAUUUCUAAAAGAGGUUGAUCUGCUUAAUCUGCUUAAUUUCUUCACCCACUAGUAAGUAAUAUCGGUAAUAUUGCCCACUAGCAGUGCUAUCAGCUUUCACACACUGUGUUUCCCAAAAACAAAUUUUUAGUGGAAGCAAGGAUUUAUUGUUUGGUGGCACCAAGUCAGAAUUCAGGAAGACCAUAAGUACAAGACCUCUGGGGAAUAAGCUGGUGUUUCUACCAAAGCAACCUGUUCUCCCUCUCAAACUGCACUGGCGAUGGAACCACCAGAGAUGGAAGCCUACUGCUGGUCACCAACCUCACACAGGUGAGCGCCCACAGAAAUGAGCGUCCCCAGUUGUUAUUCCAGCGUUACAACUAACAAAGAACAUGAAACAACAUGAAACAACAUGAGCACGCAUGUUAAAUGCUUGUUGGCCAUCUCCAUCCUGCUGGCAAACCAUGAGGGAUUUCUCUGACAGGCCUCUUGCCUAGGAAUGCAUUGCUACACUGUAUCUUAGUUGUUUUUUUGUUUUUGUUUUUAAACUUUCCACUGGCUUGGGCUACCAGCAUGCUAUUUGUGCCUCCUGGGAUCCUGGUUUAUAAAUCAAAUGAUUGGCAAUAAAAGUUAUACUGGGGAGAACAGAAGCAACAAAACUGGAGUGUGCACAGGCCCACCUGCCUGCCCUCAUAGAAACAAGCGUGCAAGCCCUGCGGAGCACCACUAAAUGAAGAUGCAGGAGAAAACACCACUGGUCUGGAAAGCACUGCUGGACAUCCAGAAGAAUCUCAAAUAUGGACAACACUUAACUAACCGCAUCCCUGCACAAGAAGCUGCCAGGCUCCCAAGCGGCCCUUCUGCCACAGCACAACUCCACCCAAACCCCCGCCCAGCUGUAAAAGGAGCCCCCUGGAACAAACGUUCCUGUCACAAAAACCUGAGCUCACAUUACAGGCUACAGCAACCUCCUGACUAUAAAUUUCCAGCCAAGAGGUUACCAUGCAAAAUGAAGAAAAGAAAAACGGGGAAAAUCAGUUUCUGAGGUUCAAAACCGUCACCCACUCAAUCUCAAACUUAGAGGAGAAGAGCGUGGCUCCGAUUUUGGUAAAAGCAGAACAGCACCGAUCAUUCAAGUAUCAUACAACUAUGCUAGCCAAAACAGCAGAUACAUGUCCGGCACUUUUUCUUCCCUCACUCCCUCUUCUUCCUUUUUCUUUCUUUCUUUUUUUUUUUUUUAAUUUUUAAAUAAAGGUAGAGAAAUGCUUCUUUUUUGGUUUUUUGGUAUUUUUUUUUAGUUGGAGGAGAUAAAGACUAGGGGAAGCGGCAGAGAAAAAUCGCGUUUAAAUGUAAAGACAGUGUUUGAAGAAGAACAAAGCCUGAAGUUUUCACAAUGCUGCAAGAAUUACGCUGCCAUUCUGUCUCCUCCUACCCACUAUUAUUAUGUGUGAUAUAAUCACAUACUGCAUAGUCGUUAAUCAAAAGCGUCUCAAAGCUUUUCACAAACAUCUAGUUAGGCCUUAUAAAAGAAACAGUCGCUUCCAUCUCUGCAAACAAAGGAGUCUGCAGAGAGGGACCUGAUCCAGACAGUGCUCCUGUCUUCAGUAGAACCCCAGUGCGGCAGCGCAGUGCACUCACCUAGAUGCUCCUGGUCUCCCUUAGAGCUCUACAAACAUUUACUACGCAAACACAGCGUUAGGUGCAGUUACACCACUUUGUUUAAAAGACCAAUCUGGCUGCGGAAAAGCUGCUCUUAGAACAAGCUGCAGGGCUUUCUUUGUACUAGGACCAAAGCACAACACACAAAGCGCUUUAAUUACAUGUGGAGAGCGGUGCUAAAAAGCAGUCCAGCUAAAACAAGCUCUUGAGUCCAGGAACACACAAGAUUUGUAGGAGCUCUAAGUGCUGAAAGGGAUAUUAACUUCAUUUUAAAGAGAAGACUUCAUUGUCCUUCCCUUUCCUGAAAGCAUGAAGGAAUGAAAAUGUGCCUCUAAAAAUAUAAAGCCGUGCGGUAUUCAAUUCAGCAAUACUCUGAUGAAUAUUUAUCAAUUAACUCUACAUAAAAUGAAUAACUCUAAGUAUCAAAUCCAUUCCUGAACGUGAAAACAGCAGGAGACAAAAGUCUCUUGAAAAAAGUCUUGAAAACUGAGCACUUCGCAGCUUUCCCAAGAAGAGCUGUUGCCACCUCUGCACACAGCGAGAUUAUCUGACCCUUGUUGCUUUUGUGUCCUACAGAGCUGGAGGAGGAACUUAAAGGAGAGCCUAUUUGAGGCAGAAAAAGAGAGAAAAAACAAACCAAAUCUUGCCUUACAAAUUCAGAGCUCAGGCAAGACGGGUUUUGAACAUGCUUAGUUCCCAAAGCACUCCCUCACAACCAAGGAUCUCACAAGUGAGACUGAACUUUCUCAGGGCAAAAAUCAGCCAGACAGGAGCUAAGCCAGCUCCUUAGAUACAGAGCACUCACACUCCCCUUUGCAGCUAAAACUGUGAAGAUGGGGAGGGGAAGCUGCCUGGCAGCAGGAUAAGCGGAGGGCCACAUCCAGUGACACCUUUGGUCUGCCUGCUUUUGUCUGAGGGUCUGAGAAAUACCGCAACGGUAUGCAUCAGCAGGUACAGACAUACUUCUCACCUGCACAAACACCUAAGGUGAAAAAACUGCAGCACAGAACUAAUGAAAGUAACCAGCACUGUAAACCACUUCACAUCAUCCCUUCCAUCUCCAUAAAAAUUUCUCAGGAGAGGCAGAAAGUAGCCUCUAAUAAAGCUUUCUAUAGACAAACUCUCCUUUUCACCAUUUUGUAAUGUUUUAUACUUUAAGAACAACCACAUACCUAGCAGUAAUUUACCAGAUAUUAAACUUAAAAUUAAAAGGCAACACCCUUUUAUUUAUGGUGACCUGACAAAGAGGGUGAGCACAUUAAUAAAACUUCAAAAACAUAAUAAACAUUACAACAUUCGUUAUACCAUUCUCCAAGCCUGAGCUAUUAAAUGUUAGCACUGCAGCUGAAGAUGCAGUAUAUCUACUGAGAGCUUAAAAAUAUUUCACAGUCCAUCGAAGUGUGGCUAGAACAUGAGAAGUACCCAAGGAAACAAGGAAAGUUCAUGAACAAGAGCAUCUCAGAACAAGCUUAAGCACUGUAUAUUGAUUUUGUACCUUACUGCUCCUUACUAGUGUGCAUAGAUAGGGCAGAUCACCCUGGACAUAGCCUCAUCUGCCACACGCCAUCAAAAAGUCACUUUAGUCUUUGCUGAGGUGUAACAGGCUACAGCUCUACUUCCUGAAGUGAAACAAAACUGAAUUCCUAAAGCAACAGUGCAUGCAAAGCCACGGUUGGAGCACAUUUCACUGUUGGUGCUUUUGCAAACAGGAUAGAAUACAUCACGUUCAAUAAAGGAAUCAUGAGCAUCUGCAGGAUCUUUACAGUAGCACUUAUGUCCACACUCUGGAAAAUUAUUUUUAUCAUAUUUAUCUAGAAACCAUCCCUGCCUUUUCUAUUUCACAGCCUGAUAGUGUGCAAUUCUGCAUCAACUACAGGAUUCAGUUAUACAAAGGGCUGGGCAAACAAACUUCAGCAGCUUGAGAAAUGCAGUUCUGGAAAAAGAGGAAAAAAAAAAUAAGUGAAACUACUUACUCAUAAUUAAUCAUCAUUUCUAUGAACACGUACUAACAUCUUUCUGCAUAUGUCCGCUUCAUAUGAGCAGAAACUCAACUUGCACAUAAGUUACUUCGGUAGCCCUUUCCCAGCACUCAUGCUUUACUCUUCUCCCAACACAGGAUCACGAGAUUUCACAUUAACCACUCACUUUCAGGCUCAGGACAGAGACCUGCCAUAAAACCUGGGCAGUCUUUCACUCUGUUUUUCCAAAUGAGAACUCUCAAGUACCUAAAAGAAACUCCACUGAAGAGUCUGAUCAUCCAACUUCUUUGUUUUGAAGUACGAGCAGGAAGGCAGGAGGCUGCUCAGCCAUUGCUGCUGUAACCCCCUGCACCUCCCUGAGCCCCGCACACACGCUUGCAGCUUCUCAACUGCCCUAUGCACGUCCUUCUCCCUGCAGACACCACCUACCCCCUCAGAACACCCUGCCAAUUGGAUAUGUUACUUGUUUUGGAGUAUUUGCUAACUUUACUUCACACCUGCUUCUAGUUUUAGUCCUGUUCUCAUCUCAUGCCAUCUCUAUAAGGAGCAGUCUGAUAACUCACUGACCAUCAAAUGGCUUACGUGCUGUACAUGCGUAAGCAUAUAAAAUGCAAUGGCAUUCACAAAAGUUACGAGACAGUACAGCAAUCUACGAACGUAAACAAACACAGGACAUCCUUUCCAUAAGGAAGCUCAGGAACAAACAAGUUACACAGUGCAUUUUGUAAAAAGCAAUGUUUGGCAUUUAGUGAAUGCAUAACACGGUCAUCUUUUAUGGAGUUAAAACAAGGAAAACAAAAUACCAUGCAGGAAUAUAAAGACAAUAAAGAAUUCAAUAUGUAGAAAAAGCUGACUGCCUCUUGAAAGAGAUAAGAUACUGAUGCAACUCUUUCAUGCAAUUCGCGAAGAAAUUCACUCAAAUACAGAAUGAAUCAUAGAUCACUUUUGUGCUGAUAUGCUGUAUUUGUCAGUACUGCAGAAUGAGAACCAAAUCUUUUACUUUUUACUUUAACUGCACAAGCCUGACCAGCCAAUACAUGCUUUUGUAGCUUAUAAUUUUAUUACAUUAUGAAAAAUACAUCAAUUUAUCAUAGUUCUCUGCUUUCUGAAAAUAAUGAUCAGGCACAGAAUGGAAGUUAAUGCAACUAAACUGCAGAUAAUAGUGUAAUUUUUUUUUUAAGGAGAAAAGGGAAGGAAGGAAGGGAGUUAUUUACAGUUUAGAAGCUUUUCUACAAAGAUUUCAGAAUAAUUUAAUUUAAUUAGGCUUGAUUCUCACUUAGCCAUAUUAAAUAUUCUUUGAGAUACUCAAAAGUGACAUUCUCUUAUACCAUAAGCAGUAAAAUACUGAAGUUUCAUUUCAUUAGGACCAUCUAAUGCUGCAUGUGUUGCCAAAAGAUACUGUCUUUUAGCCAUGUGAUCUCAAUCCUGCUGUGUCCACGCUAGUACACAGCAAGUGCCCAAGGUGAAUCACUGUGCUGUUUGGCUGAAAAGCACAAAAAAACCCAAAAAACUAUGAAGUCAAAGAAAAUGUCUGUGCAGAUCCUUCAGCUGAUGUGUUUCUCUGUCUAGGAAGAGAAUCUUUUAAUAGCAUUGCCAAGAAGGCAUGCAGAGUAAUUCAGCAGCAAGCCGCCACGCAGCAGCAGUACAGUGUUGGGUUGCAUCCACCAUGCAGCCUCCCCUCAUCAAUGGGAUCCACUUUUAUCUCUGGCUGAAACCCCAGCUAAACUACACAGGGCAUCCACUGAACUGCAAGCACUGCCUCAGCUGUCUGCUGAACACUAUGUGCAUUUGAGGAAGGGCUGGAAUGUACUGGCUCCAUAACCUUCCACAGAGACUGAAAUUUCAUUUUCAAUACAGGUUUUACAGCUUCACUUUAGGACGUGCUGCCAAAUUUUAGCUAAAUUAUUUUUGUGAUCAUGGUUUCAGAAUAAUGCACUUUCACUUGGGAAACGAGGAUUUGUAGUAGAAAGCUAUGUGCUAGGAAAUAAAUUAUUUAAUAAAAACAUUACAGUCUCAGAUCCUACAAAUCCUAUAGCAUUAGUACAGCAACUUGGGCAAUUCGCCCUUCACUCCACCUCUCGUGCUCACAAACUGUGAGCGCUCUGCACAACUACCACAGAACUCUGGGUGAAGAACAAAAGAAUUUGGGUAUUACUCUCUCUGGAGGCAGUAGUUCAGGCGUGGAACUGUAAAGCACCUGGUAACUUCAAGAUUCCACUUAAAGAUAACAGCCAAAAUACUUUGCGUCAACUCACCGGACAAUAUUCACAUCCAAAUUUCCCUCCUUAUUCUACACAUUUUUUUCCCCGAAAUGUGAGAGUGACCUUGUUUGUCCAAAGUGUUUUGAAAAAGGCUGAGGUGUCUAAAUGGCAAGCAAUAUCAUGCAAUCUCUUGCUUUUUACAAUAUUUCAGCAUCGCUAUACUGAGACACUAAUGUACUUAUUACUACUUAUUUUUUUAGUGCUAAAUAACAGGCUCCGUGUUGUUGUUUCCCCUCCACUUUUUGUGGCUAAAUUCUGGCAUCAAAAAUCCCACCCAAACGCAGGCAUCCAUGCCGCCAGCCCACAUACACUUUUUGGCAGCCUCCAAAGCCAUCAGUGCUCCUUACAAGGCAGCUCUGUGCUGCGCAGUGACUGACGCCAGGGAAAUACUGCCCCAAAGUGAAGCCUAAGACUGAAAAUGUCUGCAAGCAUCAGAACCCAUCAUCUGGAAAUUCGUUUCAUUUGAUGAGUAAGCAAAGCCUUCAGAGGUCUUCUAACUCAACAAAUUUACAGUGCACGUACGGCCUCACACUUUUUCCAGUUUUAACUGGAAAAACCCACAAAGGAGUAGAGAAGAUACGAAGACCAUUCAUGGACAAUAUAUGCAGAAGUAGAUUGAAAAUUCCAGUCCAAGAUAUUUGUCUCACAUUCCUACAAGUAAAUACUGCUUUCAGAGCUCGUUGUCUAUCCUUUGACAUUGGAAACAGAUGAGGAAUUGUUUCUUGGGCAGAGAGAUUUGUUCAUAAAGAACUGGAAAACAGAACAGCAGCAGAAGUCCGAGCUUUAAUUUUUUACCUAUUUCCCUUAUAAACACACAGCUACUGUUUCAAGGUAUAUCAGCUCAGCUCAUCGUCUGCAGAGUAACACAGUUCUGGUAGGAGCAGAGCAGGGGUCAGUCAUACAAACCAAAGUACCGCAGAGACACCACAGCAUCUCUGAUCCUCUGCUUCCUGAAAAGCUGACUCCCUGAAAUCUGGAACUUACCACAAGGAUGUGAAUUAAGCUCUUCAGUUCCAGAAGAUCUACACCUACUCAACACACCAAAAUUAAAAAAUUCUCCGGCAAGCUACAGGGCUGUGUCCCACCCAUGUGCUUCCCUGCAGAGAGAAGGUGGGCAGCUGAAAGCAAAGGCAAAAAAUAAAAGCUCCAAGCACUUACUCAUGGCCAUCACAAGCUGUUCAUCACACUAAAACGGAAGGUGAGAGCCCAUUACAGUUCAGCAGCAGCUCCAGAUUGAGGAGAUCCACGUCAGGUCACAGAAUAGCAUGCAUUUAUGCCAAUCAAUCCCAGAACAUCUCCCACCCAUCCUGUUACUUGGCCUGUGCUUAGCACAGCAGUGAACUGAGCCAUCCUGAGCAGCUCCUGUUUACUCAGUCUCAUGGCAUUAGCCCCUCAGCAGGAAAAGGAGUAGCAACACGUGCUGCUCAGUCUCCCUAACACUCUUGGGAGAACUCUGGGACCAUAUUUGGCCCCAAAGGCUAAUGAAGGCAGUCCAAUGGUACCCAUGUAAAAGUUUUCCUUUCCAGCAAACACACUCAUCUACUGCUCAGUAUACACACAGCACCCUUUGUGAACUUAAGAACUUCUUCCACAAAUCCUGCUGUAGCAACAAGAGGACUGAAAAGGUGGUAAGAGAUCAGUUUUAGUUCCAUUAUUAUCAGAAAACAGGGAUGAGGGUUUUUUUGCAUCAUAAACAGAAAUUUUACAGUGCAAUGGGAAUUGCUAAGAGGCAGGCUAUCAGCCUCUGGAAAGGAAGAAUGGAGCUUUACAAGACAUAUAAAUGAUCUGGAUGAGUCUUGUACAUGUAAACUGUACAAAAGGUGCAAUCCAUUCUGUUGGGUUUUCCACCCUCUCCCUCCCCCCCAUAGCUUAAUGAGACCACCCUUAUAUUAUGCACAGGUGCUAUCACAGCAUUCUUUUUUUGCAAUUCAGCAUUCUGCUUCUGCAUUACAUUAGAGAAAAAAGGCUGUGAAAACUCAAUUUUGCAACAAUAAAGCAAGAUAUAAGAUGUUAACCAAACUCAAUGUACAACUGUAAAUAUAAAUCACUGCACCAACUCAUUCAGCUGUUCACAUACAAGCUCAAAAGAUGCUUGAAAAUUUCCCUUCAGAAACAACAAAUUUUUGGUGAAGCUGUCACUUGUAGCCAUUCUCAAGUUUGAAAUAAAUUCACCAAUCCUAGAAAAGCAAAAUCUGAAAAUAGAAAUAAAAGGAAAAUCAGAAUUCCCAUUGCCAGUACUGAUCUCAACCUGGUUUGUUACCAACUUCAGGUAACAGAAAUAAUCUUCAGUAUCACCAUUCUACAGUUCAUGGUUAACAAAGUUUCCCUUUUAAAUCUACCUGAUAAUGGAACCUUUCCAGAAAUUAAAAGAUAUCUGAGAAUACUACACUGCUUUUCUUUAAGUCAGGAAUCUUUAGUAUAAAGAUAAGACUCCCAAAUAUUUAACAGAGCACUUUCUGAUUACCUCUGGAGAAGAGUCAUGUAUAUUUAGCAGGCUUUGAGUCAUAUGAUUUUUACAUGUUUAUUCUUCUUACAUAACAGAACCACUUCGAAAAUUUACAAAGAAACAGCAUUUGGCUUUACUAAACUGCCAAUUUCAGAACCUUACAAGCUAUCCCUAAAAUUUAACAUGUAAUUCUAGAGAAUAAUGAUCCUGACAGCCUCUAAACAUACAAUACUUGGUAUUUCAACCUCACAAAUCACCAACCACAACUUGCAGAAGAAAGUCCCAAGAGCACAUUUUACUUAAGUUAAAACUAGAGUUUCAACUGCCACAAUCAUAUGCCAUGUGAGCAUCAACCUCACUCAGUAUUACAACACUGCAUGCAUGUUGUGUUUACUUCCCCGAUUAAGUCUGCCAAUCUGAGACAUCCUCGAUUUCAACUUAUCGUUAUUACCAAAUUCAAUUAACACCUUCCUCAUCUGCAAAGAUCUUACUAAAGUUUCCUUACGAGCUCACAAAGUUUCAUAUCCAAGAAAACAAACAAAAAAUUCACCCUGAACACAGUUUCAAAAUCCGAACUGUUUUAUUAUUACACCUCAUUACACGCGGUAACACAGUGUACCAAGAUAAUCCUGCCUCUCUGGUUUUAAAACUCUGUAGAAAUGUAAUGGAAGUGUAAUUAGCUACUUACAUUAACCUAAUUACAACAAAGCACUACAUGCAAGUUGUUUUGUUUUUUUAAAAAUCAGGAAAGAGCCACUAUACAACUACAGUUCUAAUUAUUUUUAAUGUAGGUUAGUCCUAUCAAACUCCUCGGACUUCCUCCCCAACCUCAACAAGAAAGAAGCAGUAGAACACAGUGCUGCUCUACACAAGAAGGGCAGGUGGCACUCUGAAACACAGCAAAUGGGCCUUGAUUCAAAAAUCUAUUCUGCCUCCGAGCAGCUUCCAUGUUAAAGCAGUUAAUUCACAGAUUAUUUUCAGUCCCUUACUGUCAGCCCACAGCUUAUUAUUACUGUAUUACAAAUAUGUCCUUAUGCUGUUUACUGGUCCGUAAUUGUGUUUAGGAGCACAUCAUGAGAGAACACUUGUGUAUUUUCCUCCAGCAAGAAUUCAUCUAACUUUAAAAGCACCCAGAAAUAAAAGACUGUGCUUUGAUAAGAAGCAACGCAGUCACUGACCAAAAAAAUAUCAUUACCUUUGGUAUUAAAAAGCAAUAAAUGCCCUUGUUAUUCCAACAAAUCAAGCCCAAGAACAGGUCAGAAAAGAGGAUUUUCUCUUUACGGAUGUCACUGUGAAACUUUGGUGGAUUUGCUUGGUUUAUACUGCAGUUGUGACAUUUUUUAAUGGAGUACUGAAGAACAGACUUAUCUUAGAAGGACUACAGAGCUUCAUACUGUAUUUGCAAUUACUGUUACAAAGGCAAAAUGAACUUACAAAGAACAUUACCAUCUUUGAAACACUAAUUACAUUAGGAUUAUCAGGCAAUUUUUCAGCAUAUCAUUCGAGAAUUAGCAGACAGAACAGGAGACGCUAUCAGAAACAACUUCAUUCAUGCACUGCUUCACAAGUAUUCCAGUUGGCAUUUAAAACCCCAGAGCUCAGCCAGAGAUUGCUUUUUAAUGUAUUCUAGAAGGCUCAGAGAAAUACUUCCACAGGCAAACAGGCUAGAGUUAUUCUGAGCAUUCCUCCUCUUGCACGCUUCAGCUUCUCUGCAUUUGCAGAUUUUAUUCAGCAGCUGGAAGCGUUCAAACAAAGGAACCUGUUAGGUAAAGCUGAGUUUUACAGUAUUUAUUCCUUUAAAAGGCUUCAUUAAACCAGCUUAUUACGCAGUAACCAUGAGGAACUGUUUAUACUAUAUUAAGAAUGCACCUUUAUACGUGUAGCAAACCCAAGGCAGGGUGUGGUUGGCUUGCAACUGGCAGGGAACGUGUGUCUUUCAAAUAUUUCCAGUUCUACUGUGCCGCAGCUCGGGUUGAAGGCAGCACAAUGCAAACAGGUUAAAACGCAUUCAGAGUUAUCUCAUGCCAUUGCCACAACUUCAAGGUGUGCCUUUUGGCUCUGCUUAUUAGAGAUACCCUCUAUUAUUCACCUUGUUUUACUUGCUUGUUCAAAGCUGAACAGCACUUCUUUGGAAGAAGAUACGCAGCAAAGCACUCAGACUUUCACAGAUCUGCACUCACAAUCUGCAAAAGGAGACGAUGAGCGUCCAAAAAUCAUUCAAUAUACCAUACCACAUCCAACAACACACACGGAGCUUCAGGAGGAGCUUUCCGCAAGAUCCCUCAUCAAAUGCUCUUAGAAGAAACCAAAUAACCAUAGAAUGAGAGAGAAAAAAUUACUUGCAAAUUAUAACCAAUCAACAAACACGAAGCGAGAUAUGAGCAGAAGCAAUAAGCUUUCUCAAAUCGUAAGCAGGGGAAAGAAAAAGAAGAGAAGAUAUACUGAACAGUCAGGGGUCCAUGCUUGGACCCACAUUGGUAAACCUGAAGUGAAUCAUCACAAUAAGGAAGCUUCACAUUUUUUAGCCUUCCAGAAAACACCUGCUCACUGAAAUAGAUCAGCUUCACAUCACCAAAAGGCAUGGGAAGAAACUGGGGUAUUUUAGAAAGGAAAACAAAGUAGAAAUAACCACUACAUAUGACGUACCACAGCAGUUCUUGAUUACUGUUUGUAACUGUAUGCAUAUUGCUCAGGCAGAAAAACUACAGAAAACAUAACCAAUGAUCAGAGAUGCGGUACAGCUUUCCUACAUCAAAAGUUACUGGGAACUUACGGCCCUGGACAGAUAAGAAAGAGAGCUAAAAGCAUAAACAAUGUGAAAAACACAAGUGGAAAAUAUUAUCCAUGAUAUUACAUCAUAAAAGGAUUGGAGAAAUCCCAGACAGAUAAGCAGUGUUGAAAAACAAAUUUGAGAACAUUUUUUCCCCCACAACGCAUAAUGAAUGCAACCACUGGACAACAUCGAGGCCAAAACUGUACUCUGAUUCAAGCGGUGGAGCACAAAUACACAGAAAACAGACAGUUUUUAAUAUAACAUUUUCAAAUCUGUCAUCUCCAACUCCAGCAGUGCUGAAGCUAAGAAAAUACUUACAAGAAAUACAAUAAUACAAAUAUUUCUUACAUUUUCUUCUCAAAUAGUGAAGAACUGUUAGGCACCGUUUUAGCACUACCUAAGGCUUAACUUGAACAGUAUCCAAAACUGAUACAGAGAGAACAGCUUUCAUUAACAACAAGCAAAACAACUCUCAGAUCCUAAAAAAAGUUUCAUUCAUUUUAGGGUAAAACACGUACUGAACACUACUAGAACUUUCCCUUAAUUUUCCUCCUUAUAAUAAAUGAAUGGUUUCCAGCCCAUCAUUUGGGGCAGGGGAAGAGUGAAGUGCAACAACGUUGAACAAUGCAUUGCAUUAAGGAAAUCCUACAAAAACUGGAAGAAAUCUCUCACAUUCCUCUGGCAUCAUAAGGUUCAUGUUAAAUUGAACUAGACAUGCCCUCAUAAAGAAAUUGGGUUGUUUUUUUUCCUUAAAAAAAAAAAAGCAUGGUGCACUGACAAGAGCUUAGAUUCUUUUUCAUGCAUCAAGUUUUCAACUGCUCCAUGCUCGCAUUCAAUCCUUAUAAUCAUCUCUCAUUUGUAAAGCACAUAAUUUAAGAUUAUGCAAUUGCACUAUGACUGCCCCAAAACAUUAUGUGCUGAAAGCACCAAAGCAUUUACAGACGUAGGCUGCCAAGCAGUCAUGCCUUCAAAACCGCAACUCAACCACUACUUGAGCUGAACUUGUUCGAACUGGACUGACAUACAGAUGUAAAGUACUGUGUUCAUACUAAAUUGCAAAAUAAAUGGCAGGAAAACAAAAACAACACACCUGUUGGAAUGCAUUCACAGAAACAAUCUGCCCUGCACAGAUUGGUAGCAAUGGCCAUGCUGCUGUAAUACAGUUUUGAAAGAUGAGAGAAAAAAAGAGAACAGUAGGCUUCACAACAGGAACAUGCAGAAAAAUCAUAAAUACAUCAAACCACUGAUGCUCUUGAGGCUUUUUUCUUCUCAGAACUGCACUCAGAAAUGAAAGGAGUGAUGCACCCCAGGAGAGGGGGGGGGGAAAAAAGAAAAGGGUCUGUUUGUCUCAGCUCAGCCUCUAGUGUCUAAAACGACCCACAGCAGCCUCAGUCAGCACCCUCAUUUGAACACAGACAGGUAUAAAAAAAAAAAAAGAACUACAGAAGAGUUAUUGUAGUUGCAAAUCACUCAGAAGAUGAGACAGCUUCUUCUCUAUACUUGCAAAACCUAUACUCUGCUUGUUUUACAAAUGAAGGCUAUACCAGCUUUCAAGUAAUUGACUUAUUUUCAGCUUGAUUCACCCUUCUCCAAAGCGCUUACCAGCUUUGCUGGUCUUUAAGGGAUGGCAACAUACACCUCAAGUUGCUACACCACCUUUAGGAUGUGGUUUGAUGAGCAACCAUCCUGCAGCCUCUCUCCUUUCUGCUGCUUUCUCAGUUGAGCAAGCAGAUCUGAGAGCAGAAGGCAGUGUGCUGCAUGGUGCAGCCAUGUACCUGAGGGGUAGGUCCCAUGCAGAGCAGGGGAAAGUCAAGGCUCCUGGAGCAGGCACCUUCAGUGACAAACACCAGUCAUAAUGCAAUUUCAGGUAUAGGUGUGACAAGCAGGGGACUCCAGUGCAUCGUGAAGUGCACUGUGCAAGUCAUCAGUCCUUUUCCUCAGCUGUCAAACAAAUUGUUUUAGGAGACAUCACCUUGCAUCAAAACUGCAAAGGAGAGCGAGCAAAGAAAAAAAAUGGUUUUCUGUCUAAGCCACAUUCUGUUACUUUGGGCAUCCGAAAUGUGCUCACUACCAUUCAGAAAAAAUGAUCCUCCUUCAUGCAAUAGAUUAAUGCAGGUUCUCCCGGAGCAGCUUAGGUUAGGCGACAAGUACCUCAGAAAUGCUGAAAAUUCACAAAAAAAAUUCUUCUAUCAAAACCAACACAAAUUCUAACUAAGAAAGUGCAAAUCAUUUUAGAGAAGAAUGACUGAACUCAAUACUCGAGGACCUUUUGAAGGACUUCUCAGAAGAAAAGAGAACCUAAGCUAUUUCUGGCUACCUGGAACUCCACAGUAAAUGACAACUCUCCUUCUUCCUUCAGCUAUCCUUUCCAGGAAACGUGCUGAAAUACACCUGCACACAGGGCAAAUCGCAUUUGCCUGCUCUCCAUUGUGUCAAGCACAGAAGAAUUUUAUGUUUAAAAAAUAUUAAGCCGAACCCAUGAAAUUUAAGCCAAAACCAAUCUGGAAUUGCAUGGAAAAAAAAAGUUAAGUUUCCUUGGGUAGAAAUGAAAGAGCUUGAAGUCUAUAUAGAGUUACUGUACUGAAUCAAUUUUGCGGUAAGAUGAUCCUUCCUGUCCAUCAAGGCCCUUCCAAACACUUACCAAUUUUUUUUGUGUUUUUGUUUGUUUGGUUCAUUUUGUUUGUUUGUCUUUUGAAGUCAUUCUGCUUUCCAUUCCAUAAACAACAAACUCCUCCACAGUAGGAGGUCAGAAACUAUUACAACGAAACAGCUACGAAGCAAAAGAAAUAGCACAGAAAAUCCAGACAUGGUCUAACUGCACUCCAUGGAUUUGAUCUUCAAAAGGAACAGGAGAUUUCCUUCUCAACUGACUCCUCUUCAAGUUUCUUUACAAUGUGAGCUUCUUCCUGCGUGCCACAAAAUUUAUCAGCCAAAACUUUAAGACCUGAAAAGAUAAAAAGCUUCUCAAGUUCAAAUGAAAAUCCUUUGAGGAUAUUUUGAAACCAAACCAACUCCCCAAAGCUACUCCGUACUAACAGCCAUGACUAAAACCAAUUUUUAAGAAAUGCUCUGCUUCCAACAGCUUUCACAGCCAGUACUGCACCUCAUAUUCUUAGAUUUCAGAACAAACACACGCCAGAAAAUACAUCUACAAUCCCUUCACAAACUCAGUAUUCUGUCACUGAAGGUCUGUAUUGUGGAAGCUCCUCAUGCCUGCCCACUACCACUUCACUGCCUGAAGUAUUCAAAACAACAGCAUUUCACCCUAUGCUGAAAUAGAAAAAGGCUGGACUUGCUUGCUGGCUUUUACCCUUCAUAAUUUCCUCUGUUCUUUCCACUUGCACACCAGGAGCAAUUCAUUCUGCAUUACAGUAACAAGCAAGUGCAAGCUCAAUGAACUCUUAUCCUGCUCAUCAAUUCCUCAAUACAACUGUAGGUUCACAAAAAUCUUUAUAAUCUUAUCCCUGCCAUAGUUAAUAUCUGGUUAAUAUAGUUAAUAUAAACAAAGACUGUUUUUCACUUAAAUCAUACUGGAGGUUGGAGAUUUGAUAUUUUCAGCAACAACAUUAUAAAAAAGAAAUCUAAAAUUCUUCUCUUGUAACCAACCUUACCAAGGAGAUUUCAACCACAGCUGUAACCAUAUAUGCCAAGAACACCAAACCUUCCCUUGCCUGGGACACACUGAGUGAAGUGAAUUGGCCAGGGUUGCACUGUGAAGGUUGCUCUCAAACUAGUGUCUCCUAUUUAUUUCCAUGGAAAUGAUAACAGAUACAAAGAGCACAAUAACACUAUUUAAUAGAGCAAAUUCUCAGCAACAGAACACUCUUUUUCAACACAGUCAUUACCAUUAGCGACACAUAUUCACUAGCGAUGAACAAGAGCCUGCGUGCUGUGCAUGCAGAAAUCUGCACCAGCAGAGAUGACCCACUGUCACCGCUGCUGAAACACACCACCCACUCCCACUGUGCUCACAUGCACUGCUUGGUCUCUACAAUCACUCAGCAAGCAUCAAUAAAUGUCAGUGGGUGCCACAUGGAGGAAUUCAAUGAUGCACCUUUGCUUCAUCUACACUUCCAUGUCAGAUGUCAUGUUUUCAGACUGCCCCUCUGCUGCCAUCUGUCACAUGGCACCAAAAUGUAACGGAAUGUUGUUGGGAAGGUUCAACCUCUACUGCCAUACCACAAACAUCCACCUCUGACAUAGCGAGCCAACAUCAUAAAAUAGGAGGCAUUACUUUCAGAUCUGCCCCCAUAAAUACAUAUACUCUAGCUCAUGUAUUUAAGUAACAAAACUGAUUUUAUUUUUAAUGUUCUUAUUAAAACGUAUAGAAAGGAGAACAAUAAAACCAAAGAACUAGCAGGAUAUCUGACCUUGCUUUUGCAAAAGUAACGCUUCAGUCCAAUUCAAUGGAAGUGGUUGUCAUUCUCAGGCGCAUUGUGAGCUAUGCCAGUCUGCACGCAGCCCACAGGCUGGACAUGCCUGAUAUAAGCAAUUCAGUCUGCGUAUCGCAGAGUGAACUGUGAAAGUCAAUGUAACUACACGGCAAGUUCAAUUACGGAUGCGCCAUACGCUUCAAUAUUCCUUUAGGUAUACAAAAGGAAUCAAUUUGUGCAAUUUGUUCUGAACACAAAAAGCCCUUUUGGCAAGAUCAUCCUUUAGCUGAACAAUCAGUUUGAACACUUGCCUGCUGAACACAUCCCCCAUUCACAUCCCACAGCAGGAACAGCCAGUUGAACAAGCAGAGUAAAGCAGUUCUGAACUACGAGUUUUGUUUCAAAAGUAAUGCCUCCCAUUUUAUUGGCCCAUGACAUCAAAGGUGGAUGAUGGUGGUAUAGCAGUAGAGCUUGAACCUUCCCCCAGCUAUUCCAUUAUAUUUCGUGCCACGUGACAGACGGCAGCAGAGGGGAGUCUGACAGAAUGGUGUCUGACAUGGAAGUACAUAUGAAGCAAAGGUGUGUCACUGAAUUCCUCCAUGUGGAAAAAUCUGCACCUACUGACAUUCACCGAUACUUGCUGAACACUUACAGAGACCAAACAGUGGGUGAGAGCACAGGCUCUCACUUCGGGAGUGGUAUGUUUCAGCAGUGGCAACAGCAAACUGAAAGACAAGCAACAUUCCAGCUAGCCACUCACAGCUGUCACACCAUGAAACAAAGAGUCUCGAUCAGCUCAUCCACACAAAUUGGCAGAAUACAACCAGACAACUGCAUAUAGAGAUGAAUAUCAGCUUCAAUGCAUUGGAAGUAAUGGUGGCAACAUUGGAAUAUCACAAAUUUUGCACCAAGUGGGUCCCACAAUUACACAGGAACGGAAAGAAAAUCAUAUACAAGUUUGUCAGGGUCUACUGAACCAAUACAGGACUGAAGGUGAUCACAUCAUUACUGGUGAUGAGACAAUGUCACCACUAUGAGUCAGAGUUAAAACAACAGUCCAUGGAGUGGAAACGUGAAUUCCCCACUGAAGAAAAAGUUCAGGUCACAGCCCUCAGCAGGUAAAGCAGUGUACACUGUCUUUUAGGACAGGAAAGGGGUCAUCUUUCUGGAUUUCCUGCAACCCAACAAGCCAUCAACUCCAACUGAUGCAUCAUGAGCUCAAGGCUCAAACUUCCAGAGUCAGGCCAGAGAAGAAGACAACCUUUCUCUUGCAACACAAGAACAGCAGGACCCAUACCAGUUUGAAGAUUGCGAAGCACAUUGCCAGUCUUGGCUGGACUGUCCUACCACACCCAGUGACUUCAUAGUCCAUACUUGGUGCCUUCUGACUUCCAUCUGUUUGGACUGAUGAAAGAUGGACAGCAUAGUCAAUAUUUUCGUGGCAACAGUGCCAUCACAGCAGCUGUGAAAUAAUGGGUCACCUACAUUGGUGCCGACUUUUAAGAGCAAGGCAUGCAGGCUCUUGUCUGUUGCUGGAAAAAACGCAUAGGUAAUGAUGGUGACUAUGUUGGAAAACAGUGUUUUAAAGAUGAGAAUUUGCCCUCUCAAAUAGUGCUACUGUGCUCUCUGUAUACAUUGUAGUUUCCAUGGAAAUAAAUCAGAGGCAUUAAUUUCAGAGCAACCUACAUACUUGAUUCUGAAGAAGCUGGUAUUUUAAAUGGCACUUGAAAAAUUCACUGGAUCGAGACGUUAACAAAAACCACCAGUGGGUUUUUCUGUGCUUUUCUUCUCUCUCUAAAAAAACCUUCCUCUUGCAUUUAAGAUAUCCUUUGCCAUAGUCUCUCAGGAGUGUUACAGCAAUAGUCUCACAUACCUAGAUGCGCAGAGCUACUUCAGGGUUUGUUUGUUUUAAAAGUCAAUUUCUCUCUUAAUUUUCAAAUGACCAGACUGUCAUUGAGUAAAAUUCCAGAAGUGAAAUGCUUAUGUUCCAACAAAUACAUGUAAGAUGGACUUGUCUAUGUAUAACUUAACUGAACACCAUUAUCCUAACAUAAAAAAACCACACAGUACUCACCUCAACAUAAAAAUAAGCAAGAGUGAUUGAUUAUAGGUGGAACACAUUCUCAUCAGUUCUUGCUUCAUCUUCUCGCAGGCUGGAGUUAAUGUUUACCCCUCAGGAGAUGCAGCAAGCAACGAAGUCAGCCUAUAAAGCAGUGCGGCACUUGGUAGCAUUUUUCUUUAGUAAUGGCUCUCAACCAAAAGACAACUUGGUGCAGGUCUGGAGUUCAGCAGCAACACAUCCUAGGACUUUUAGGCCUAGAGGGACAUUUAGGACUAGAGGAAUGGCUUCAAGCUGCACCAGGGAAGAUUCAGGCUGGACAUUAGGAAAUACUACUACUCUGAAAGGGUGGUCAGGCACUGGAAUGGGCUGCCCAGAGAGGUGGUGGAGUCACCGAGCCUGGUGGUGUUCAAGGAACAUUUGGAUGUUGUGUUGAGGGACAUGGUUUAGUGAGAACCAUGGGUGAAGGGCGAAUGGUUGGACUGGAUGAUCCUGUGGGUCUUUUCCAACCUUAGCAAUUCUAUGAUUCUAUGAUCCCUACUGCCCAUUGCAUGUUCCUCCUCUUUCAGUGGUCAUCAGCCAAUGGCUUGGUUAAUUCCAUCUUAAUUCUGCAAAAUGAAAUUAAAUUUCUCUUCUCUUAAGGUUCUCUAGAGGAUGGGUGUGAUUUGGUUUGUUCUUUUAAAGAGUUCUUUUAAAGAAUUUUUGGUGGUGGUGGCAGUUUGGGUUUUUUGAUAAUGAAGAAUUUCAAAAUUAAAACAAAUUCACUAGAUUAAUUUACUAGAUUAAUUCUUUGAGUUUGCUGGAAACUUUAGAUCUGCACUCACCUUGCCUACAGUUGCUUUCCAGCACAUUUAGUUUCCAUAUCAAAACCUGAACUGAGUACAUACUGAAAUGCAAGAACAGCCAGAGAGAGUUCCAGAUUCAGCCUUCUCAGCAAAAGUCAAAAUGACCCCUGUUACCAUCUGGCAUAAUCCAGUCCCAGCACAGACCAAUACUGAACUAGCACAGGCUGCUGUCCUAGAGUAGAGCAGCAGGAAGCACAUUCACAGCAAUUCCCACUUGUACGUGCAUCUUCCUCUCAGCCCAAGGGCUGGCUAAGGAUGCAAACCAAGUACUUCUAUCUCAUAUAAUAUUUUGCCAAUAACAUAAUCCAGUUUUAAUAAAACAUUUAACAAUGUACUGAAUGGUGAGGAAAGAUUAAUUCAAGUUUACCACACUGCUUCUUAUCUGUGUUAACUAGCAAUGCUGUAUUCCUAUUCACAUAACUAGCAUUUCAUGCAGAGGAAACUCAAGUCAGAAACAUGAAUGUUUUUAUUUCCUUUCCUAUCCUUCAGCCCUCAAAAUACAAAUACUAUUUGGUAUUUCAAGAUCCAGGACAUCAAAUCUUCACUAAAAAGCAACAUAUCUAUGGCAUCCCAUAUAAAAGCCAUGUAUUUCAUAUGAAUUAACCCAAAGACACUCCAUCCUAAAAACGCAGCAUUGCUUUCUGCUGAGGUGUUGAUUUACAUAUGUGGUUCAUUAACAAGUUGCUUUCUGCAGGUCUAGUGAGUUUUAGUAGAUCCAUAUCCACUAUAAAUAUUGUUGUUUCCACAGUAAGGUUAGGAAUUUGAACAGCAAGAAUAAAACCUGUUACAAAAAGUGAAAGACGACACCAUUUGCCAUACUCUUAUCCUAACUGAUAAUCUUUGUCCACACCCAGUACUGUUUUAGAAGCUCCUGAACAGUACAGUUUCUGCAAGAAACACAUUUAAUGCUUUCAAACUUGGAAAAGUUUGUCAUCGUGAAUACACUGGAUUAACUUUUUCUUCAGAUGAACUGAAAACAGCAAAGGGAAAAAACACUGUUCAUGUGGACCUGGUAGGAAAAUGAAUGGAGGAAACACUAAAACUGCAGUUUUAGCACAGAACAGUUUCAUGAACAGUGCACACUUAUACAAGCGAUUCUAGAAGAACAAAUCAUCACUUAGAAAGUCCACACUUGUAAUUACAGAGAGUAAGUAACAACUGCACACAAAAACCUGUACGAAAAAUGCUUACUUAAAAAAAGGUCUUUGUAGAGAUAAAAUAAACAAUCAGAGGUAGGAAACAACAGCUGGCUGGAAUUCCAAAUGACAAACCACUUAAUUUCAAGGCAGAUGAAAAGAAUCACUUAAAUAAUCUAAGAAGCACAAAACUAAUCAAAUAGAGGCAGUUUACAUUUUUAUCUCAUCAGUGUCCACUGAUGUAUUUAACAGAAAAAGGUAACAUUAGCAAGAUAGCAAGAGUGGUUCAAUUAUACAUAAUUGCCCCAGAUAAAACUUUUCCCAUGAGGUGAAAGGCAGGACUGCCAUGACAAGCACAGGCUGCAAGCUGGUUAGGGCUCAUGUCCUGAAAACGCCGCACAGCACUUCACAAAUUAAGCCAUUGAUGGAGCAGCCAGCAGCCAGUCCAAAGCACUAGCAGUGCAAUUGCCAAAAAAAUAGUGGGUUCUGGGGCCCAGCAAGUUUUAGCAAGAGCAGUUAGUCAUUGGCAAAAACCAAAGUUGCAGUAUUGAAAGCCUUACCACGAGAGGUCCGACUCAAGCCCAAGGCUGAGGGUCUGAGCUCUGCAUCAACUCAGCUCUACACUGUGACAGCGCCCACCACACCAAGCUCUGCUCUGCAGACUGUGCACAGCCUGCGAGAUGUCACACGUGCUGUGGUAAGAGAUAGGAGCAGCAAGGACAAAGUGCCUUUUCUCAUGGCUUCGCAUGGAAGAUCAACCCAGCCCAGAUAAAAAUACACUCACUGUCUCUUCUCUGCUCCCCACCACCAUUACUGCAACCCCUAUUCACUAUUAUCGAUAAUGCCCGCUUUCACAUUUCUGCCAUAAGCAUUUAUUCUGGCAUGAGUUCUAUUGAUUUUAAUGGCAACACAUUAAAACAUGGUGCAAAGUGCAUCCUUGCAUGCAGAUCAAGCAAACGGUAAUUUAUAAGUUGAAAGCUGAUACUAAGAUGCUAAGAAUAAAGUGGGUAGAAAAUUACUUUUUCCACUGAAAGUCAGACAACCACAAUGGUUUGUUUGAUGGCUGGGCUGAAGAAAUACAAUACAAACCAACAUAACAUGCUACACCAAGUAAAAUACAUCAGUAGAAUAACUACAAUGAUUUGCAACCACCAAGUUCAAUUUAGAAGGAAAAAAAAACUUCAAAGAGCAGUGAAAUAUAUUGAUUAAAUCUGCAGCUGCAUGCAACAAGUUUGGCUACAAAUUAGAAAGUCUCCUUCAAGCCAGACAACGUAAAUAAUGCUUUCUGGAAAGUGCUAUGGUAAAAAUGAUUCAAUCAAAAGUUUCUCAUGCAUCUAGAGAUGAAAAUAGAAAUUUUUGAAAGCACAUCAUCUCAAACCACAGGAAAGAUUAAGUAACAGCAUUUGCCUUGCAGGGUUCAUCAGCACUGCCUAAACCUAACAAGUAACGUUCACUUCUAUUCAGCAUUCCUGCAACAGUGGCUCAGUUUCAGAGUGCAUUAGGAAGUCGUGGCAAAGCAGGUUCAGCAAAGGGCCCAUGAAGUGGCUGGGGAUGAAGCACACGAUGAACACGUGGAGCUGGGACACCUGGGUUUCUUAGUCUGCAGAAAGUUUGGGUGGGUCAACUUGCUUUUACACCAACCUCCAGGGAGAUUACAGCAAGGGCUGUGCCAAACUCAUCACAGCUGUACUCUCACUGUACAGCUCUGAUUUACAUAGGCUGUGCUCUGAGAGGUGGAGCUGGACUGGGUGGUCUCCAGGGACCUCCUGCAGCCUACAGCUCCCAUUUAUCCACCAAAAUUCACCUCCACGUUUACUGCUGCUUUCUGCUUACUCAAGGUAUUGAAACUAACAUUGACACUAACAUCAAAAUUACUACACUGGAUCUACAGGAUACUUGCUGUGUGUGGAAUGAGCAAGGUUUCCCAAACCACCUGUGUGUACGUAAUCAAAUCUGAUACAAAAUAACCAUCACACAAAAAUAGCUAAUAAAUUUUGCUGUAAAUCUGUACUGUGCUUUAGCUAUCAUUAGAAGUGUGGUAAAGAGAAGAACAAACAGCAAGGCACACAGAACAUCAGUGUCCCAUAGUGAAGUCCUGUUCAGUGCAUGAUACCGAGCCUUAACAGAGGCUGCACUACACAUUUUUCCUCAUGCAUUUCUAUGCAUUUUUUUUUUCCAUAGGAAAAAAAGAUGCCGUGUUUCCAGAGAAAGGAAAACACAGACCUCUAGUAGACUGACUCGUGUGUAUGCAUGGAAACGAAUCCUUCAAUGGCAAGUUUCAGGCGGAAGGCACAGGUGUGCCAACCCUCCACAGACAGGACAUUUCUGUGCACACCUACAGAAGGAUAAGGCCACCUGUUCCCAGAAGCCAGCAGAACACUGCCGAUACAAAUGGCAUUCUUUGAAAGCUUCCAGAAGGUGUAACACAUUGGACUAGCGGGUCAAAAAGUGAAUUUGAACUACUAUCCAUUGAAUAACUCCAGCUUGCUGCUGAGAUAUGGCUCACAAACUGAACUGAAAUCAAACAAUGAAAGGCAAUUUCUGAAUAGCAUCCUGGAGAACCCUUUUCCCUCGGCUCCUGGCAGGCACUGCACUCAAACAGCAUUCAGAAAUACAGCUGCAGCACGUUAAACAACAGAAACAUCUUGCUGACAUCAAAAAAUGGAAUGUCACCAAAGGUAACUGAAUGCUGAAACAGGUCAGGACAGGAACGCUGUAGAAUUUCCACCUUUGGAGAUGCCCAAACUGGACAACGUCCCAAGCACCUUUACUAUGCUCAGGGCAGCACGUUGUGAUGGGAGGACCCUGAGAGCCAAGGGGUAACUAUCUGCCAGUGAAGGGGCCUCCAUAAACACAUGGCGGUCUGCAGGUGGAUGAGCGUGCAGAAUUAAGCUCUUCUCAUACAGAUUAUCUGCAUGAUGCCUCCAGACAAUCCUACCAAAAACAUGUGUGAAGCCAUUAAAAUCCCAUUAUCACACCAAAGAAAGACCCUUCGGCUUCUAGGACAGUGAAAAAUCCCUCUUUUUCCAAACCACUAUAGAAAGAGAAAAUUUAAACUGAAUUCCUAAGAGUUGGAAGUUAAAAACAAAAUUGCUCUGAAACCAAGUCCUUAAGAAACUGCUUUGUCAGCCGUUUCCCACCGCUGCAACAACAGCAAAUGUGUCUCUCGCAGCACUUUCAGACCCACAACACUGCUCAUGAACCCCUUCUGUCAGAAACGAUCCUCAGAUGUUGAGUGGCAUUUUUGAGUAGAACAAAAAACCACCACAGAGUUUCCACUUCGUCACAACCCUAGAAGAUCACAUUUCUCCCUUUUCCAAAUGAUUUAAAGAAAGGUCAGAAGUCUUAAAAAGAUAAGACCAAUUCACAUCCUGAAAGACAAACAGCAGCUUGUGGUAGAAUCAGGUCAACUACGGAGAGCUUAGAAGAAUAUGUAAAUGGCUUCAGAAGGAGAUUCCGUUUCUAAACCACGUUUAAUAAGAAAGAGCCAACAGAACAUUUAUGAUCCCAUUAAAAUCCUUUCCUUUAACGGAGCCAUUAUUUUUAAACAUUCUCCAGAUUUAAAAAAAAUGACAGACAACACACAAAUAUAUCAAGAAACUUACGGAGAAUGCAAGAAAAAAAUCUGCUUCACUAGGGAUGAAUUAUUUUUUCUUCUUACAAAAUUAGAAAUAGGUUUUGGCAUAACAUUAAUAAACAACAAACAGAAUGAAGAUAAAUGUGAUGAAGACUCAUACUUAUUACAUCUGAAAGCAUCCUUCCACAAUUUUAGACAAGAGUGGCUGCACAGUGCACGCAUCCUCUCCUUGAGCAUUCAAAUGUUGAACAAAAUCAAAGUGUGUUUUUAAAUUACUAACAGUUAAAAAACAAAGCUGUAAAACUAAGCUUUUUAAAACACCUGCAAACUCACCUGGAAGUCACAGAAGAUACUGAAUGAUAGUUUCAUCGCCCUUAACAGCAAGUAUCUGUACUACUUCAUCACAGAACAAGGCAAGUUUACAUCAAAUGAGACUUAGGCAUGUAAUUAAAUUCUAUCAGGUGCACCAGAACGUGGUACCAAAUUGCUAUCAGUGAAAGUGCCUAAUAUCUAAUCCAGUACAAAAUAGUAGUGAUCUGAAUAAUGUCUAAUAUAAAAUAGGCAUGCUGGCACCUGACAUCCUUUUUCUUUUCCUUUAAUUAAAGCAAAAAAUAAUUUAUGAGAUCAAUAUUUUCCAUGAUGUGACCACUGUACUUCUGAUCCGAUACUGGGAAUCCUAAAGCCCUGAUCACAGCACCAUCGAACCAGCGUUCUAAUUUUGUAACCUUCCCAUAAGUUUGGGUACGCUGUUCCCACCAACUAAGGCAGCUCUCUUUGCUCUUUUUCUCCCUUCUUCCACACAGAGGAAACAGCUAUGUGUUACAGCAGGCCCUGUAAUACUGAUCACUGCAGAGCACCUGACAAAGACUCAAACUUUAUGACAGACUACUGCCAAGAGCUGCAAAACUGUCUUACUACAGCAGACAAACAACAAGUUAUUCACCUAGAGGAUUCAUGAUUCCUUAUGGUCUAGUAUCAGGUCCUGCACAUAGUCACCGCAGGUGACGUGACCUGUACCUCCUCAGUGUUUUAAGGGAACAGGGAUCAAAGAUACCUGUUCUGAGAAGUGAUGGAGAGGGAGACAGGGCCUACUGAGUCCAGAUUGCACAUCAAAGAGCAGCAGCUGAGAUGGAGAGGAGGAAGCUGAGAACGGGGAGAUGGGGAGGAGGAGGAGCCCAGCCCCAUUACUGCUUCACGUGAGGCCUCUACCACAAGGCACUGAUGUCAGACAACACAAAGCUUAUCUUAGACAUUUCCCUCUCAGAUGGGCAUAAAAAUUCAUUUUGCUUCUCUAAAAAGGGACUGAUCUCAUGUCACAAACCUAUCUUGUACAUGAUCCAGAGUUUAAGAGUAAAUCAUUACAAAUGCUGCUUUACCUGCAGCCUCACUGUCCAACAUUUAAAAGCACGAUGAGAGAAGAUCAAACCUCUUUUCAAUGUCAGGAUGUCCUCUUCUGACAGUGCCCCUGUCCUGCCCGUUGGCACCUUCAGAUCUCUCCCACGCUUAACCAAAACUGAUAUUUAAGAACUCAGAUGCUCCAGCUUACGUUUCUGCCAUGCAAUUGCAUAAAUUCCACAGCUCCUCCAAGUGACUGCCAUCACCACCAUGCAGCUCUUACCAGAACUGAGGCUCCUUUCCCCCUCAGCAGUCUGGUCUUAUAAGGCCUGUUGUUCUCUAGGUGUAUCUGAAAUCUCAGUGACGUCUGCAGGAAGGGGCCAGAACAACAGCCAUCGCAUUAGUAAAAGCAGAGGAAGCUGGGGAGAAGGAAGAGGAGUUAGAGAACAGUGAACAGGCAGGCACACACAGUGUGAUCACACAAGCUGGUUUCCAUAGGAAACUAGAAACUUUGAGGGCAACCUUGCCUCAAAUGUAUUAACAGAUACAUAGGAUACAGCCACUGCAGCCUCAGCGGCACUGCCACUCAGUGCAGAUAUAUUUUAGCAGGAUUGGAGCUGAUGGACAUUGUUCAUGCACCCACUGGAAUGGAAAAGCACAGGAGUAAUAACACAAGGCACUCUGGGUGCCAGGCACAGCAGCAAGAGUCCCUAGGGCAAGUGGCAUCUGUGGACAUGGCCAGGAAGCACUUCAUGGACAGGUUCUGAACGCAGUCCUUCUUAAACAUAGCCUCAGGCUCCACACUGAAUAUUAAUCCCAAUUCAAAGGAACGCUUUGUAUAUAAUUUCUAACAGCAUUAGAUUUGACAGUUUCUGCACACUUUGUUUUAUUCAUUUGUUAUGUGAUCUGAUUUAUUUUCCUUGCAAUUUUACAUAUGAGCUCUCUUAUUCUACUGAUACAGAUCAAGAUGUCUAAGAGCUUGCUGAGCCAGGGAUACCUAGCAGAGAAUGAGAAUCCAAUUUGCCCAAGUAUUACUUUAUCCUGCAGCAUACCAGCUCUUACGCUGACAUUUGAGCUCGCAGUACCAUCAGCACAGCCACAUCAGCACACUGCAAGCACUGAGCAGGAAGGCUGGUGAGCUCACACACAAUGCUAUGCUGUGUGUGUAAAUUUUGGCCAGGCACAAGCUACAAACUCAGCACAUCACCACAUCAUGCCAUGCAGACACAAUGAGCUAAAACUGUAAUAGUAAAUAAAAGAAGGGCAGGGCACAGGUUUGAGCACUACUCCAUAACCCUCCACACCAAUACGCUGUCAGCACAUUCCCCAGCAUGGCUUUGCUCAAGCGCACACCUGGUGCAUUGGGUACUGCUAUGCACAGAAUAGGGGUUUUUGCUGAGUGGCUUUGGGGCUCAGGACAGGGCUGUGCAGGUGGGUGUGGACACAGCAACCAGACUGCUCAGAUAUGGCUCACAAACCUGCAGCACAGCUCUAGUUGUGAAUAAAUUCCUCCAUGGGGAGAUGGAAUGUAAAGCUCAAGACAAUUGCUGUUUUGAACACUAGUACAGCCUUCUCGUGCACAAUGUUAAAAUAACUUGCUCAAGGGCAUUUCUUUAUUUCACAAAGUCACUGAGGUAAACUAAUGAAUGAAAGUGAGGUACUGAUCCUACAAUCAUGUCACACAUCAAAACACAAUCUCAUUAGUUCCCGCAAACAACUGAAGUUGAGUGCACUCAGUGCAGAGCAGCGUAAUUAUCAUGCGACUGCACUGUACUGCAUCAGUUGCUGGCAGAACAAGAAAAGGAAAAUCAACGUCCACCCCAGACGUAAUCACCAGUUCUGCCACUGCUAGAAACGAUUUACACAGACUUCCCCAUACACUUUCCUUCCCAGAAAGGAAGAUGCAGAAAGGAUCAGACCAUAUUGACUCAACUGGAAGCAUCAGCCUGCCUGCUCCACACCUUUACCUUCUCCACGCACAAUCUUGAGACUGGGACAACUUUUUCUGUUCAGCAAAAAGGCCCAAGGAGAAAGCACACUUACAUGGUGUACUGCGGUUACAACAGCCUCUCCCUUGUGCAGCUGGGGCUGCACGCCUGCUGCUGCAUGCUUAAGAGGUGGCUGCAGCCCCCAUGGACAGCCACAGCUCAUAGGCCACCCUGUAAGUCCUUCUAGCUUUGCUCUAAGGGAAGAGUCGAGCAGCUUUUCAGUACAGCUCUUCAUGAAGACAAUGGCGAGAGCUCAACUAAACAAGAACCUUUAUUAAUAAGGCAUACACUCAUCUUAAUGCUAUUCAGCACUAAUUACCGUGGUUGUAAAGGGAACAGCAGUGGCACUUCAGUAGUAUCCCACGCCUUUGCUUCCUAGCUUUGAGCACAGAGAUAUGAGAACACAACACCUCGCUGACACACGGUACCAGUUCCCAAACAAAGAACCUAACUGACAUUUCCAAGAGCUUCUGGCAUCCCAGCUAAGUAUUAGGAGGAUAACCAAGAAUGGUUAUGGCAAACGUUAGAUACUGCUGUUACUUACCACUUGAGAAUCAAAAAUGCUUGCAGCACACACAGAACAGUCACUCAGCACUAACACGAGAUUUGAAAAGAAACAAACCCACCACCUUCAGAAAGCCCAUUUUUCUACCUGGCAAAAUAGCUUUGGACUUCUGCCACCAAAAGGUUUUUGUACUUCCUUUAUCGGCAGCAAGAGAACACUGUAAUGAAGAAACCAACCACUAUUUAAGGGUACUUCACAUUAUACUGCACACAAAAUUACUUCAUUUUCAAAAGUAAUAUUAAAAGCUAAUAUUAAAUGACUUUAGCUGCAAGCACAUAACACCCACAUACUACAGCACAGCCAAAAGCUUUUAUUGCCACCUGUAAAAUGCUACCGAAAUAGCGGAGCACCAUUCCACAAGCCCCAUUCUUUCUCCAUGUACAGAAAGCGUACGUGAAAGACCACACAAUCAGGAACACUGCCUAUGCUAUCCUAAUGUGCUUACGAGACACGAGCAGCAAGGAUUUAAUUUAUAGCUAUGUUUUAAGUAAGAAUUAAUCAAAACUCUUAAGCUGUGCUUAGAUCGAUAUGCUUACUCAUUUACUAAUGGUUCCCACAGGAAACUUCACCAGGCUGCGGCACUGCCAGGCAGCUUCUAGCCAUGCUUUCCAAAGGUGCUGUAAAGGAAGCUAGUCAGGAAGGAGAAAAGCACCACUCAUGUUUAAGAAAACAGUGAAUUUUAGGCACUUAGCUUCAUCUACACUGAGCAACACUGAAUAGAUCUUCAAUUCUUCUCUCAUUUUGAGUUAGUCUAAAUUACAGCACUCAGGCAAAAGUGGAGAAUGGAGAAAAAAAAUGAUGUUUUACUGUUUACACAGUUUCAGCUUCAAUAUUUCAACUCAAUUACAAAAUUUUAUUUUUCAGUACUGGUAUCUACCAAAAAGUGUGUUAUCCACCAUGCUUAGUCGGGAUGCUUUGACGCCAGCCGAAAGGAAGCCCAUCGCUCUGCCAAGAUCCAGUGGGUGGCAACCCUGCAUGCAGCAGGGGGUUAGAUCCAUCUUUAAGGUCCCUUCCAAUCCAAGUGAUACUGUGAUUCUGUUUGUUAAAUGCUAUAUAUAGCUAGAUUGGUUCUGUUUGUUAAUUUACAAAUAAAGCACAAGUUUUCAAGCAAAACGAAGAAAAGCGAAAGUUUCCCUCUGCCUGCACUUAAGACAUCUAUCUCUGGGCAUUCAGUACUUUUAUAGCAUCUACCUUGCAUAUGACUCUUUCCUUGGGGCCAGUUCUGCACAACUGUUAAGUCAUUCUCAGUAAGACUGACUUUUCUCCAUCGCCACUGAAUUUUCAGAAGAAAUGUAUUAUAUUUCCUAGCUAAAGAGCACAUGCACAACAUUUGCACGCUUGCCCUUGGCAGGCAGUUUGAGGCAAGUCAUUACACUUAAAACCCAAGUACAAAAGGUAUUUCAAUCAUGAGAGAACGGAAAACCUCAGUUCAGCUCCUCAGCUCUGACUUAUAUGCUAAGAAACUGAGAUUUAAUGAUGCCAGCAAUCAGCAGAUAAUGACUAACUUCUGUUAAAAUAACAGUGAUGAGCACCCCUCGCAGCAUUUAAUUACUGGUUAUUAUCAUACCUUUGUCUUACUGGAGAUGUACUUUAAAUUACCAACAAAUUUGAAAGUCUUUACUGCAUCAACAGUACAUAUACAAGUGAUUAGAUCUGGAACACGGAGUGCACACUUGCACAUUCUUGCCCUACUCUAAUACUGCUGUCUGGAGUCAGAAUAACAACUCCUCAGUUUUCUAAUUUUAUUUAGAAUAUUAAUUAACCUUGAUUAUUUUAUUUUUUUAGCUAAGUGUAAAGGUUAACUACAACAGUUUUAGAACAGAAAUCCCGACAGUUUUAAUACAUCAUAACAGAGAGAGCUCUGUAGAUCUUCCAGCUGUGCCUAGAUACAGCAAUAACUGUACAGCAAGGCAAGAAUUAACAUAAGGCUCUGAAAUUAUUCCAUGGAGCUUCUUGUACAGUUGUAAUUGGAGAGUGAAAGUGUCUCUGGGGAAGUUCUCCGGAGGAUCCAGGACCAUUCAUUUCACUGUAUAGACAUGCCCUAAAAACCCACAGAACCAAAAUCCCAGAAAAGCCUCCUCAAUUUAGCAUGAAGGGCAUAUUUUGAGAUUAUGCUCAUAUUCUCCUCUCGUCUGUAUUUACCAAAGGCAUCAUAACAAGGAUCGUCCUUACAGUCUUUCUGUAUGGCAAAGCAUAAAUGAUACAAAACCGGGGACACCAUGGGAAUUUCCUAAGUGAAGUACAAGUCAAUGACUGCCAUGCAAGGCGCUGCAGAAAUAAGCAGGGGAGGUGGAAGGUUGAGACAGCGGGCUUCCUGUCAGCAUGGCCUUCUUCAACCAGUGCAAAGGAAGGGAAAGAGCAAAGAAAAACACAUCCGAGGAAAGUACAGACUGAGUAAGCAGCUUUUACACAACUGUAGCCUUUCUAUUCUCACUUCUAAAGGUUUGCUUUAACUAAAGCUGAGGCAAAGCGUCACAUCUCACUCUUCAUUCAGGUUGUACGAUCAAUACCAGCCAUAGAGUUGAUGGAACUACUUUAUGAUGAUUCAUGCAACAAGUCGUUAAACACAUUUGCAAAGUAAAAGAUCACUGCCAGUUUCACAUAAUUCAAAAAGAUAAGAUUAUCUUAAAGACGUGAGAAUGUUAAAGCAUAACAUUAUUCUGCAUGGUUAUGCAUUCCUUCAGCAUGGACUGAAAGCAUGAAAUCCAUCUUCAGCCUAUUCAAUUUGCAAACAAGCAACAGACUGACAGAAAUCUCAGCUGCACUCAGAAGCAGGGAAGGCCUCCAAGGCGGAGGUGGUGGGGUCUGGCAUUGUCUUCUAUGUGAUGCAUGCAACAAUACAGUCCCAGCAUGGUGCUGAACAUCUUAGUUCUGAUAACACUAAAUAAUAAGAUUAGUAAUUGAGGAAGUGAAAAGAAAAGCACUGUCUACAAAAAGAUCUUCUACAGUUCUUAUCUCUGAACUAUUUAUGACUUAUGUGUAACAGCAAAAAAAAGCCAACAGGUUUGAGCUUGCAACAUAUUUAAGUCUGUAGCAAAAGAAAAACCGCACCAUCACCCCUCAAAGCACAGACAAAGCCACAUGAUGUCUGAGUACAGUGACCCAAAAAAGGCCUAUUUUUGCCACAAAAUUUCUUCAGCGAGAGCAAAGCUUUGCAUGGUCCUGCCAAAAGACAAGUGUUGAAGAUGUGUAAGUUUCCUCUUACACUGCCUUCUGCCAGGAAAACAAAUAAAUAAGUUGCCUUUCUUAAGUGCUUACAGGUAAAAGAAAUGAGGUUUCCAGGUACAAGUCUGCAACGUGAUAGCCAGAAGCAGGAAAAUGAGAUAAACUCACACCAAUGGCAGCUCUGCUUCCCAACAAGAUGGGCCCACUAUGCUGACAUAAAACUGCUCCACAUUAGUAAGUAAAUAAAUAAUGGUUGCAAGGAUGUUCUUAAUUUUUAAGGAAAGUUUAAACUGUGUGUACACAAGCACAGCUGACUGCUGCUGGAGGCUGCAGCCAGAAACACCUGCAGCCUGUGGGAUGCCAGCAGGGUGCAGCCAGCCCAACCCCGGCCCCAUGCUGCACCGGCACACCCAUGGCUCUGUCCCCCCAAAACAUAAGGGUUGCUUUGGUAUGCACAAGCUUCUAAAUGAUGCUAAACCAGAAAAUACACUCUCCACCCCGAAGUUCACCAAAUGUGGUCCAACCCUUAAGAGCCGUAAGGGUCCAAAUCAACAAAUCCCAUCUGUGAUGGAUAUGCCUGGUUUAGCAGACUGGCGAAGUUAGGUCUUAGCUAUAAUUACUGAAGUACUAAUGAUUUAUAGCUGGGGUCUUAGCACCACUGCCUCUUCUACCAUGCCAAAUCAUUUGCUUCUUUAAUAAGACUGAGCUACCAGCUUGCCAUUUCAGAAAUCAGUGGGAGAAGAAAAAAAGCAGUCCUUGAGCCAAAACAUGGAGAAAAGUUGUAAAACAAAACUAUGAUCUCUUGUAAAACCCCACUCAUCGUGGGUCUGCACUGACUACUUCACGUUAUUUCCAUUAUUUCACAUUGUCCCAGGAGUAAAAAAAAAAAAAUGUUCCUGAGACCAUGCAACAUUUAGGUAAACCAACAACAGCAGGUGUUUAAAAACAUUUAAUUCCUCACAGAGAGCUGUGUGCAUUGCCACCAAGAACACCUCAGGCAAACAUGAGAGCUGCUGGCACAGACAACUGCUGUGCAGAAAGUUCUGCAACCACAGCAGUCAUUUCACAAAUGCUAUGUGACGCUAUUUCAAAAAGUUCUGUGUUAAUCCCAUUUCCAUUCAGCAUACAACAAGCCUGCCACUUGAACUCAAAAGUCAAAGGAUGAUGGAUGCCAACGGUGCUGUGAUCACCCCGCCACUGGGGAGUCGCAAGUCGGGGACCCCACAGCCCCAGCAGCAUGGGGCCAGCCCGGGCUGCAGGGUGUCACUGGAGAGAGGUGAGCAAGCAGCAGAGCUGGACGAGUCAUGCUGGCCAGUGUCUAUCAAGCAGGCAACAGGUAGCUUCUCUCUAAAUGAUGCUCAACUUCUGAUCUGUGCUGUACAGCAGACUGGAAUAAGAUUGUGCUCUGCUGAUUCUGACUAGUUGAGGUUUUUAAUCUGCUGUAACACCAUCAGUUACAGAUGAGCAUGAAAGGAUUUCACCAUGAUAACAGUACAAGUUCAACAUCAGCACACCUGUCUCCCAGCAGCAGUAACGGCCAGCUAGAAAUACCUGUAUGUCGAGGUAGACAACAACACUGGAAUAAACACCACCAGGAGGCUUUUGAGCAGUGGAGGAAAACCAUGAAGAAUCAUGAACAAUCUGACUUUAUGAACAACUGGAUCCUGUAUGCCAGCAGCUUGUUUAAAUUUUGACAACUUCUGAACUGAACUUGGUCUUCAGAAACACUUUGCUAAUUGUUAAGAGCAUCCUUGUUAAGGAAGCAUUCCUGUCUUCCUAUAGAGUCUGAGCCCAAAGAAAAGUAUUAACAUCAACAAGAACCUCCAGGUGUCUCUCAGGAUGAAGCAUUAACCAUCAUUCUCUGUAGCAGCUCCUCCUUGAAUACUGUACUUUUCCAUAAUGCUGACCGAGACUGAUCCCAUUAAUCAAACAUGGAAUUGCAAGACAGGACUCACUUCCAUACCAGGAGCUCACAGACAGCACUGAAGAAUACCCUGUGAGGGCACAAUUCACCAGCUAUUGGGACAAUGGAAAGUGUUAUGUUGUGUUAUGUUCAAUUGACUUUUAAAGCAUGCUUCCAUAAAGAAAACAAAGACUUGUAAAUGCUCAGUCUCUCACUUCACACUUAACAUAAAAGGCAUGUGGUCCAACCUAAAUCAAACAACCCACCCAGCAAACUAGUGCAACAGGAUUUAAAAUCGACUGAGACAAUGACAUAACUUUGCAUCUUAGAAGACGGACAUCUAAAGCAAUUUCAGUUGCGGAUUCACGUUCAAAAAGCAGUGAAAUAGGUUACCCAUCUGCAACUCCUAGAGGGCUUCCUGAAGGUCAGAGUGCACGAUUACUACAUUGUGUUCAUCUUACAAUGCCAGCUGAUCAAGAAAUCUGAGCCUGUCAAAACCACAGAAUUAUUGCCAUUCAUCUCCCCGGUGGCAAUCCUCUGCUGCUUUGCAACUGUGCUCUCUGCUAACUGCCUCCACUGCUGGUAAGGCUCCCAUCUCAGCAGCAAUUGCUUUCUAUUAAGGAGAAAGCAUCUCAACUCUCACAGAGCCACAGAAUCCCUCUGUGAGCACCACCCAACUCCAUGGUCCUCAAUCCAACACUAUGCUAAAACAUAAAGCUCGGGCUGCUUGGAAGUUACUGUUUAGAGGGAUACACUGAAGUUGCAUCUCCCUGGAAAGAAAACACAGAACAGUAUAAUAUCUUUCACUCACAGCAAGAUAAUUAACACACGAUUAAUUUUGCAUGCCACAAGGAGUUAAAGGCCUGACCUAGCACAUUUUACAAUAUAUUUGUACAUACUGAUCAAUCAGUGACUGCACUCACCAGUGCCUCAUUUCUCCUGUAACUUAUUAACAAGAAGUUCAACCAAAGGGUUUCAGAAUCUCAACAAAAAAAAAAAAAAGCAUUAAGAUUUUUUAGAGAUGAUGUAAAAGGGAUUCCACCCCACCACCAAGGCACAAGGCAGAAAGCAACCUGACAUCAGACGGGUGGAACUUCAGCCCGCAUCACAACAAGAACAAAACGCUACAAGAGAGAAGAAAGCAAAAAUCCAGGAGAUGAACAAUGAGCUGAACAAAGCAAAGAUGCAAGAAGCUACUAAUAGACAAUGAAAUCACACCUUACUGACCUAAUUAAAGGAGAUGCUGAGGAAUGAAUGAAGCUACGAAUGCCAAGGAAACAACAAAUCCCAACAAUUUCCCAACAGGCCAACACAGGUCAACGAGAAUAAAUUUACAACUCUGAAAGUGACAGCAUUAGGAAGAGAAACUUGUGGCUGAAAUUCGGAUGAGGGCAGCAGCUCCGCCUGCUCAGCACAGGAGGCAGCCGGGAUUUCAGCCCAGCAGCAGCCUCCUCAGCAAGGGGUUAAAAUACAGAUAUGGGAGAAACUUCUCCACAACACAUGCGCCACAGGACUAAACAGUCAGAGGAAAAGAAGUUCAAAUAGGAAAUCUAAGGGAUACAUACAUUUGGGAUACACUUAACAAAACUGAGAGGACAAGAAGAGCUACAAGAGAACUAAAAGCUCCUGAGGCAGCAACAGAAUGCUGUAAGUGUGAUAAAACAUCUCCUCAGAAAACAUAAAGGGAGAAAAACAAGAAAACCACACUCAGAAGAAGCCACACUUGGACAUGGCUUUUAAAACAACAGCUAUCCAGAAGUGAACCCAAAUCUUACAAGAAAAUCUCAAAAAUGAGAAUUCUUCAAACCUAGAACACAGAAGUGAAAUGGCAAUAAUACAUUUGAUCAUAGAGAAAAUAGGUGGUGGGUUACACCUUCCCAGCUGCAUCCUCCCAGCUCUGUGCUGCUGCCCACUCUCUCCACCUGCAGCCCCACACACAGGCACAGAUGAUGUUCCACCUGACCUCAUGGCACAAGAGGCUCAAUGAACCACAACUGAGAGCAAGGGGCACCUAUCCCAAGUCCCAACAUUUUAUUAGCAUCAGUAACACCUUCUUAAUACACUGCUGAGUAACUAAGUGCACAGCUUUUAAUCAACUGAGCAUAAAUAAACCCUAUUAAAAUUGGGGAGGAAAAGAAAAAAAAAAGUACCUCCUGUUUCUAGUUAAACAAAAAUCAAUCAAAAGGAGACAUCAUAUUUACAUAAAGCACAUAAUCAUGAAACUUCAACUUCACCUGAACUGAACACACGUGUUUUCACAAGUCAAAGAAUGACUGGUUAGUUCCCACAGCCGUUCUGGAUUAAUAGCCAGUGUGACACCCAACGGCCCGAGGCGGGACGGCUGUGGCAGGGAAGCACAGCUCACAGAUCCCUCCUGGUGAUUGCAGCCGUCACAAAAGCUCCCACCUCGCUCCUUUCACCUUCCACUCCCCACUCCAGCCAAAGGCAAACAGAGGCCAGCCCAGCCAUUUCUGCCCAGCAAACAGCAGCCAAACUCCCCAUCGGAGCGCGUACAGCUGCAUACUGCCCGGUUAGUGCUUCCAGUGGCAACAACCAACACUAUGGAUAGGGAGCGCUUAUUAAAAAAAAAUUAAAAAAAAAAGGCCAUUUUUCCUUCCGUAAAACUGAUGUAUGCCUUAGAUUUAGCGAAGCUAAUGCUUAAUUCCUACAGUUAGCGAGAAUUAACGAACGCAGUUAAGAAGAUGAGAAUCCCAGCACGAAGGUUUGCUUUCCGGAGGAGACGCCAACCGCGGCCCCGCAGCCGCGGUCGUGCAGCAGGCAGAGGCUGCAGCGUGCAGGUGCCCCCGGCUCGGCGCGCAGCACCGGGCUCAGCAGCACGGCACCGCCGAGGGAUUACACACCGGCAAGGUCUAAAAAGCCGAUCUGUCAGCAGCGUUAUCCCCGCAACCACCUCAGUAUUCCUCUCCGGGUGAAGCCGUGCCUCCCGCAGCCGAAACGCGCCGGCGGUGUAGCCAAGGUUACACAAGGAGAUCUUCUCUUAAGUUGAGCAAUUCCCAUUUUGCGUCGCUGCUUCGCAGACACGAGCGGGUGCGUUCCUCAUUAAGCGAGCCGAGGCUGCAUCGCAGUUACCCGGCGCACGUAACGCAGUUAUUUUUAAAUGCGGCACGGGGACGUCGGGACGAGACCGCACGAAGGAUAACGCGGGGGAAGAGCGGAGGAACUCGGCCGAGGGGGGCAGCCCCGCUCCCGCCUCCCGCACCU